UGGGGAAUAUUGGACAAUGGGCGAAAGCCUGAUCCAGCCAUGCCGCGUGUGUGAAGAAGGUCUUCGGAUUGUAAAGCACUUUAAGUUGGGAGGAAGGGCAUUAACCUAAUACGUUAGUGUUUUGACGUUACCGACAGAAUAAGCACCGGCUAACUCUGUGCCAGCAGCCGCGGGAAUACAGAGGGGGCAAGCGUUAAUCGGAAUUACUGGGCGUAAAGCGCGCGUAGGUGGUUUGUUAAGUUGGAUGUGAAAUCCCCGGGCUCAACCUGGGAACUGCAUUCAAAACUGACUGACUAGAGUAUGGUAGAGGGUGGUGGAAUUUCCUGUGUAGCGGUGAAAUGCGUAGAUAUAGGAAGGAACACCAGUGGCGAAGGCGACCACCUGGACUAAUACUGACACUGAGGUGCGAAAGCGUGGGGAGCAAACA
RNAcentral lists this ribosomal RNA (427 nucleotides) under uncultured bacterium. RNAcentral's name for it is "partial 16S ribosomal RNA". It matches the Rfam family "Bacterial small subunit ribosomal RNA", at positions 355 to 774 of the family's 1533-position model. The record is from RNAcentral.